AGAGUGGUGUGGGCUGGAAUCCUUACUGGAUGUCUUUUUCCUUUUGCCCUCAAGAGUCUUUGGGAGGCUCAGGAAGGGACUGGUGAGUGACCUCAGCAGCCCACCAGCAGGUAGCCAAGGGUCGCCCUCUCUUCAGCCCCUGAUGCCUCUUCCAGAAAAAACAAACCACAAAGCCAGCUGAAGAAAGUGGGGGGAAGGUUUCUGUUGCUGAGAUGAAACGCCAUGACCAAGAAGCAAGUUGAGGAGGAAAGGGUUUAUUCAGCUUACACUUCCAUACUGCUGUUCAUCACCAAAAGAGGUCAGGACUGGAGCUCCACCCAGGGCAGGAACCUGGAGGCAGGAGCUGAUGCAGAGGCCAUGGAGGGGCAUUGUUGACUGGCUUGCUCUUCAAGGGCACCAACUGUUCUGAUCUCUUGAAGAGCUCCUCAGGCAACCUUCUGUUUCUAGCAAGAUGAUACACCCAAGCCUUGAUGACAAGGCUUGGCUCUCAACCUCCUUGCUCCCCACCUCCUGUGAAAUACACAAAGAAAUUCAGUGAUCAUCGGGGAUGCUCUGGUCCAAACACUACCUGCCAGCCAGACGCAGGAGAUGGAUGGCUCAGCAGUAAUCGUGCUGCUUGAGCUUGGUGUCUAAUGGGGACAGUAGUGACAGGAAGUUCACAGGGACUGGAAGACAUGAGUUCUCUGAGGGAAAGGAAGGUGAAGCCUGGUGCUUAGGACCCUCAGGAGACCAUAGGAUGUGAGAAGGCUCAAGACACCCAGAGGUGGGGUCAGAAACAGGGCAAAGGAGACCAAGCAUGGGAGAGCUGCAGUGGACGUGUACAGACAGGAGAAGCAGGCCCUAAAGAAUCCCUGAGGCGGCAGAGAGGCUGGGCUGUGGAACUUUUUAAUUACUUUGCAUUAGGGGACUGUAGAGACCCAGAAGCCCACCCUUCCCCUCCCCUCAUCAGCUUAGCCCCAACAUAUGGUGGCUACCAAAGUAGUUAAAUCGGCUCUUGGUAGAAAAGGAAAGAGAUUCCUCCCAGGCUCUUCCCAGGGUCCACGGCCACACUCCAGGAGGGCUCAACUCCAGGGCAAGGCAGCUGGGACAGCAGGCAGCUGAAGGAGGACUAUUACUGCACCUUAGGGAAGAGUGCAGUGGCGAGUGGGGAGGACUCUGCUGGGACCCGGGGGUCAUGUGCAUUCCCAUUUAGUUGAGCUCUGCUUAAUCCGGGCCUAGGCUCACAGUAAUGGGGAACGAGGAGAGGCUCCCAUCAGAGACCAAGAAGAUGACAGACUCUCUGUAAAGGCUGUCAGAGGGGUCUGCAUGACCAACCACACCUGCUCCUGUUCCUUUGGGGCUCUUGUGACCUCCCUGUCUUCUUGUGAGAUCUUAUGUUCCUCCAACCCUGAGAGCUACAAACCAAUCUCCGGAAUAAAAAAAUCUGUCCCUCG
Molecule: long non-coding RNA, 1433 nt
Filed under: Mus musculus (house mouse)
Lineage: Eukaryota; Metazoa; Chordata; Mammalia; Rodentia; Muridae
Description: predicted gene 10505
Source: RNAcentral